This 236-nucleotide ribosomal RNA is filed under the name uncultured bacterium. RNAcentral's name for it is "partial 16S ribosomal RNA". It matches the Rfam family "Bacterial small subunit ribosomal RNA", at positions 524 to 758 of the family's 1533-position model. The record is from RNAcentral.
UACGGAGGGUCCAAGCGUUAUCCGGAUUUAUUGGGUUUAAAGGGUCCGCAGGCGGGAAAAUAAGUCAGUGGUGAAAGCCUACAGCUUAACUGUAGAACUGCCAUUGAUACUGUUUUUCUUUGAGUAUAAUUGAAGUGGGCGGAAUGUGUCAUGUAGCGGUGAAAUGCAUAGAUAUCAGGUAGAACACCAGUGGCGAAGGCGGUCUUCUGGACAGUGACUGACGCUGAGACGCGAAA